GACGAACGCUGGCGGCGUGCUUAACACAUGCAAGUCGAACGGAAAGGCCCUGCUUGCAGGGUGCUCGAGUGGCGAACGGGUGAGUAACACGUGGGUGAUCUGCCCCUUACUUUGGGAUAAGCCUGGGAAACUGGGUCUAAUACUGGAUAGGACCAUGCUGUAGGUGGUGUGGUGGAAAGAUUAGUUUCGGUAAGGGAUGAGCUCGCGGCCUAUCAGCUUGUUGGUGGGGUAAUGGCCUACCAAGGCGUCGACGGGUAGCCGGCCUGGGAGGGUGGACGGCCACAUUGGGACUGAGAUACGGCCCAGACUCCUACGGGAGGCAGCAGUGGGGAAUAUUGCACAAUGGGCGCAAGCCUGAUGCAGCGACGCCGCGUGGGGGAUGACGGCCUUCGGGUUGUAAACUCCUUUCAGCCAUGACGAAGCCCUUGUGGUGACGGUAGUGGUAGAAGAAGCACCGGCUAACUACGU
Molecule: ribosomal RNA, 468 nt
Filed under: uncultured bacterium
Lineage: Bacteria
Description: partial 16S ribosomal RNA
Rfam family: Bacterial small subunit ribosomal RNA
Source: RNAcentral